Molecule: long non-coding RNA, 393 nt
Filed under: Sinocyclocheilus grahami
Lineage: Eukaryota; Metazoa; Chordata; Actinopteri; Cypriniformes; Cyprinidae
Description: lncRNA (ENSSGRG00000055445.1)
Source: RNAcentral
AUGACUUUCCUGGCCUGCUGAGGUGAGCGAGAGGAGGUCUGGAGGAGCCGGAGGAGUCUCUGUCUGUGUCUGUUUACAGUAGGCAGCAUGCUGGUGCUUCAUUGCGAACAUCAGAUUCUGUCCUGGCUCAUCAUGAGGAGAACGGAGGAAAGCUGCGGGCCGUGAGCGUGAUCAGUUUACAGUGGGCCACUCGCAGACGCCAGCACAGUGGCAGCGGCCGCGCUCUAAUGAGAGCUGACAGACGUGACAGAAAGAAAAUGUCACAGCAGAGCUGUGAAAAUAAACCGCUGCACAUGAGAAACCUAAGCUCUGAGCACCUGCUUUCUGACUCAGGUACAUUUAAUCACCUUUAAUCCCAUUAUGUUCCUGACCAAAGACUGAAACCUGGGGAUC